This 621-nucleotide ribosomal RNA is filed under the name Ammonia sp. T2B. RNAcentral's name for it is "SSU rRNA". It matches the Rfam family "Eukaryotic small subunit ribosomal RNA", at positions 1362 to 1778 of the family's 1831-position model. The record is from RNAcentral. Lineage: Eukaryota; Foraminifera; Rotaliida; Rotaliidae.
GUACGACCCACUGCUUAGUAUAUGCACGUGCUUCGGUGCGAGCAAUAUACAUUAAACUAUAGAGACCGCUGUUUCUUCUUUAAACCAGAGGAAGGAUACGGCAAUAACAGGUCUGUGAUGCCCUCAGAUGUUCCGGGCUGCACACGUGCUACAAUGAUCAUUGCACUGUGCAUCUAACCCAAUGUGCGUGGACGCCGCAUGCAUGUACUCCUUGUGGGUACACGCAUUGCUGAGCGACCACGCCGAACCUACUUCGAAAGUAAAAUUUCUCUGUGGGUAAUCCAUUAGAAGUAAUGACUCGCAUAGACCAUGGCACACCAAAUGUACGCGCAGGUCUACCCGGCUCGCCUUUGUGUGAGUGCAGUGCGUAGCUUGUUGUUUCGUACGUGCCACUCCGUAUUAAUUCGUACGUGGGGAUAGAUCAUUGUUUAAUUGUUGGUCUCGGUCUUAACUAGGAAUGCCUUGUACGGGUCUCUGGUUCAACAUACCACCCGGAAUACGUCCCUGCCCUUUGUACACACCGCCCGUCGCUCUUACCGAUGGAUUAUGCUAUGAAUCUAUAGGACUGCCAAAGUUGCCUCGGCUGCUUAGUGGAAAUAUAUAUGAAUAGCGGAUCUAAAG